RNAcentral lists this ribosomal RNA (402 nucleotides) under uncultured bacterium. RNAcentral describes it as "bacterial SSU rRNA". It matches the Rfam family "Bacterial small subunit ribosomal RNA", at positions 359 to 776 of the family's 1533-position model. The record is from RNAcentral.
GAAUUUUCCGCAAUGGGCGAAAGCCUGACGGAGCAAGACCGCGUGGGGGAAGAAGGCUCUUGGGUUGUAAACCCCUUUUCUCAGGGAAGAAGUUCUGACGGUACCUGAGGAAUAAGCAUCGGCUCACUCCGCGCCAGCCGCCGCGGUAAGACGGAGGAUGCAAGCGUUAUCCGGAAUUAUUGGGCGUAAAGCGUUCGUAGGUGGCUGUUCAAGUCUGCCGUUAAAGACCGGGGCUUAACUCCGGAAAAACUGUGGAAACUGAACAGCUAGAGUAUGGUAGGGGUAAGGGGAAUUCCCGGUGUAGCGGUGAAAUGCGUAGAUAUCGGGAAGAACACCGGUGGCGAAGGCGCCUUACUGGGCCAUAACUGACACUGAGGGACGAAAGCUAGGGGAGCGAAAGGG